RNAcentral lists this ribosomal RNA (622 nucleotides) under Clostridioides difficile. RNAcentral's name for it is "partial 23S ribosomal RNA". It matches the Rfam family "Bacterial large subunit ribosomal RNA", at positions 1 to 627 of the family's 2925-position model. The record is from RNAcentral. Lineage: Bacteria; Bacillati; Bacillota; Clostridia; Peptostreptococcales; Peptostreptococcaceae.
UGGUCAAGUUAUUAAGGGUGCAGGGCGGAUGCCUUGGCACUAGGAGCCGAUGAAGGACGUGAUAAGCUGCGAUAAGCUUCGGGGAGUUGCACGUAAACUUUGAUCCGAAGAUUUCCGAAUGAGGAAACUCACUUAGAGUAAUGUCUAAGUAUCAUUAAGUGAAUACAUAGCUUAAUGAGGGGAACUCAGGGAACUGAAACAUCUAAGUACCUGAAGGAAGAGAAAGAAAUUCGAUUCCGUAAGUAGCGGCGAGCGAACGCGGAUUAGCCCAAACCAAUAAAGUUUUCUUUAUUGGGGUUGUGGACAUAUCAUAACGAAGAGGUAUCGUAAUUGAAGAGGUUUGGAAAGACCCACCACAGAAGGUAAUAGUCCUGUAUGUUAAACGAGAAGACUUUAGAUAUGAUCCAGAGUACCACGGGACACGUGAAACCCUGUGGGAAGCAGGAGGGACCACCCUCCAAGGCUAAAUACUACCUAGUGACCGAUAGCGUAUAGUACCGUGAGGGAAAGGUGAAAAGAACCCCGGGAGGGGAGUGAAAUAGAACCUGAAACCCUGCACUUACAAGCUGUGGAAGCACAUUUCUUGUGUGACCGCGUACUUUUUGUAGAACGGGCCAACGAG